CUAAAUCACAAAGGUGAGUUUUGUUGAUGUUGUUGACUUAUGUGCUAAUCAGACAUAUUUGGUCGCAGCAUGACUGCCAGCUAAUCGAUGCUAACAUGCUAUGCUAAUCGAUGCUAACAUGCUGUGUUGUCCUGAAGUCAACUGUUAAUAUUAUUUACGUAAUUACAUGAUAAUAUUUUUGUAUUACUUAAUAUUUUGUAUUAGUAACUCUGCAAUGCUUUAAUUUGGAGUUAAAGUUGUUUAUAUUUAUUGCACGCUAUAAUCGGUAAACAGCAGUUAGAUGAUGUCACUUCCGCUAAAUUACUUCCUGUUGGUUGACUUCCGGUAUUUGUUCGAAAGCUAGAGAUACAUUUUGUGGUCUUCUGUAGUACUUUCUGUUGCCAUCCUACACAAAGCGGCGAAGAAGCAAUGCCUUUUUCACCAUCUUGUCUAUGAAGGAAUUGUCAAAAGUAAAUGGUCAAGCUUACAA
Nerophis ophidion (straightnose pipefish) is the source of this 469-nucleotide long non-coding RNA. RefSeq lists it as uncharacterized. The record is from RefSeq and is a predicted model, not a curated record. The transcript has 2 exons. Lineage: Eukaryota; Metazoa; Chordata; Actinopteri; Syngnathiformes; Syngnathidae.